CCUACGGGGCGCAGCAGUGGGGGAUAUUGCACAAUGGGGGGAACCCUGAUGCAGCGACGCCGCGUGGGUGAAGAAGCGCCUCGGCGCGUAAAGCCCUGUCAGCAGGGAAGAAAAUGACGGUACCUGAAGAAGAAGCCCCGGCUAACUACGUGCAGCAGCCGCGGUAAUACGUAGGGGGCAAGCGUUGUCCGGAAUGACUGGGCGUAAAGGGAGCGUAGGCGGCCUUGUAAGUUAAAUGUGAAAUCCUACGGCUUAACCGUA
Molecule: ribosomal RNA, 261 nt
Filed under: uncultured bacterium
Lineage: Bacteria
Description: partial 16S ribosomal RNA
Rfam family: Bacterial small subunit ribosomal RNA
Source: RNAcentral